RNAcentral lists this long non-coding RNA (1080 nucleotides) under Zonotrichia albicollis (white-throated sparrow). RNAcentral describes it as "lncRNA (ENSZALG00000017266.1)". The record is from RNAcentral. Lineage: Eukaryota; Metazoa; Chordata; Aves; Passeriformes; Passerellidae.
AGCUUGCAGGGAUGUGUGCGUUGGCUGGAGGGGAUGUCUGGAGGAGCUGGGAAGUAACCAGAUGACUGACAGCGAUUCAGGCUCGAUGCCUUAUGGAGGGGACAGGCGAACAGACCUGCUCCUUCCUUUGUGUUGCCAGUCAGGUCCUCCCUCUGCAGUCUUACACAGGAAGAAGAUUUAUAACAGCUGCAUGCAAUGCCAGUGUCUCAAAGAAACAGUAUCACGCCAUGUGGAGGAUUUUUGUUUGGGGUUUGUUUUCUCCACUGAAUUGGAAAGGAGUGUGUUUCUGGGCCCCCAUAACCCUACUGGUCACCUCCUCCUCCUCUUCCACACCUGGCCCCCAUAACCCUACUGGUCACCUCCUCCUCCUCUUCCACACCUUUGUGGUGAAUGAUGAAGAAAGGACGCAGCUUUUCAAUACCAAGGAAGAAAUGGAGCAAUAACUGGAGGACCAUAAUCUACUUAUUGCUGCUUGCAGUGGAUGUCAGAGUCAAAUGGCUCAGAUAAGCAGCUACUACAGGACCAUGAAAAAGUGCCACUUAUUUUACUGCUUCUCAAAAAUUUAAAUUACAGAAUCUGUAAAUUUCCAAUGGAUUGAACCAACUUCCUUUUAAUUUUUAAAAUUUUAGAGUAUUUGUUUUUAUCGUGUCCUGUCUUUGCCUGAGACAAAGUUAAUUUAUUUUCUGUUUCUGGUAGAGUGCUGAGAUUUGGAUUCAGUGUGAGAAUAAUGUUGAUAACACACUGAUGUUUUGGUUGUUCCUAAGAAGUGCCUAUCCUAAGUCAAGGACAUUUUUGUGCCUCAUGCUCAGACAGUGAAGAAGAGCACAAAAAACCUGGGAGGGAGCAUAGCUGGGACAGGUGAGCUGAGCUGCCCAAAGGGGUAUUCCACAACACAGAACAGCAUGCUCAGUAUAAAAACUGGGGAAAUUACCUGGGAGGGGGGCUGAUUGGGUGUCAGCGAUAUGGGUCUGGCAUCAGCCAGCAGAUGGUGAGCAAUUGUAUUGUGCAUCACUGUUUUUACUUUUAUAUUAUUAUUGUUGUUUUUAUUAUUUACUAUUAUUAUUGUUAUAUUUUACUUUU